AUGGGCGGAGUCCAGCAUCUGCUCAAGCUGAGGAUGGCGUCCCCCCACGCCCACCCCGCCACGCGGCCCCUCUCCGCGCUCCCGUCCCUCCUCCUAGCCCGCUCCUCCUCCGCCGCCGCCACCGCCGCGUCGUCCGCCCGACCCGCCUCCCUCUCCCUCCCCCUCUCGUGCUCGCGGCCGCGGGCGCGGGCCUACUGCCCAGCCAGACGACGGUUGCCGGGCUCCGUGGUGGCGAUGUCUUCGUCGGCGCCCACGCCGGGGCCCGUGCAGAAGUCGGAGGAGGAGUGGGAGGCCGUCCUCACGCCGGAGCAGUUCCGCAUCCUCCGCCGCAAGGGCACCGAGUUUCCUGGAACAGGUGAAUAUGACAAGUUCUUCGAUGAGGGUAUUUACGGAUGUGCUGGCUGCGGAACCCCCUUGUACAAAUCAUCUACGAAGUUCAACUCAGGGUGUGGUUGGCCAGCAUUCUAUGAAGGAUUUCCUGGAGCCAUAAAACGGACGGCGGAUCCUGAUGGGAGGCGCAUUGAGAUCACAUGUGCUGCUUGUGAAGGACAUCUGGGGCAUGUGUUCAAAGGGGAGGGGUUCAACACGCCGACUGAUGAGCGACACUGCGUCAACAGUAUCUCACUCAAGUUCGUUCCGGCCUCUGAAGAGGCUAGUUGA
Molecule: ribosomal RNA, 660 nt
Filed under: Triticum aestivum (bread wheat)
Lineage: Eukaryota; Viridiplantae; Streptophyta; Magnoliopsida; Poales; Poaceae
Description: partial small subunit ribosomal RNA
Source: RNAcentral